GACGAACGCUGGCGGCGUGCCUAAUACAUGCAAGUCGAACGCUGAAGAGAGGAGCUUGCUCUUCUUGGAUGAGUUGCGAACGGGUGAGUAACGCGUAGGUAACCUGCCUUGUAGCGGGGGAUAACUAUUGGAAACGAUAGCUAAUACCGCAUAACAAUGGAUGACACAUGUCAUUUAUUUGAAAGGGGCAAUUGCUCCACUACAAGAUGGACCUGCGUUGUAUUAGCUAGUAGGUGAGGUAAUGGCUCACCUAGGGGACGAUACAUAGCCGACCUGAGAGGGUGAUCGGCCACACUGGGACUGAGACACGGCCCAGACUCCUACGGGAGGCAGCAGUAGGGAAUCUGCGGCAAUGGGGGGAACACUGACCGAGCAACGCCGCGUGAGUGAAGAAGGUUUUCGGAUCGUAAAGCUCUGUUGUAAGUCAAGAACGGGUGUGAGAGUGGAAAGUUCACACUGUGACGGUAGCUUACCAGAAAGGGACGGCUAACUACGUG
Molecule: ribosomal RNA, 497 nt
Filed under: uncultured bacterium
Lineage: Bacteria
Description: partial 16S ribosomal RNA
Rfam family: Bacterial small subunit ribosomal RNA
Source: RNAcentral